GGUACGGCGACCAUAGCGGGGGGGCCACACCUGAACCCGUUCCGAUCUCAGAAGUUAAGCCCCCCUGCGUUGGAGGUGGUACUGCAACGUUAGUUGCGGGAAGCCUCCAACGUCGCCGGCCCA
This 123-nucleotide ribosomal RNA is filed under the name Methanothermus fervidus. Lineage: Archaea; Methanobacteriati; Methanobacteriota; Methanobacteria; Methanobacteriales; Methanothermaceae. The record is from RNAcentral.